GACGAACGCUGGCGGCGUGCCUAAUACAUGCAAGUCGAGCGGACCAAAGGGAGCUUGCUCCUGGAGGUUAGCGGCGAACGGGUGAGUAACACGUGGGCAACCUGCCUGUAAGACUGGGAUAACAUCGAGAAAUCGGUGCUAAUACCGGAUAAUAAAAAGAACUGCAUGGUUCUUUUUGAAAGAUGGUUUCGGCUAUCACUUACAGAUGGGCCCGCGGCGCAUUAGCUAGUUGGUGAGGUAACGGCUCACCAAGGCGACGAUGCGUAGCCGACCUGAGAGGGUGAUCGGCCACACUGGGACUGAGACACGGCCCAGACUCCUACGGGAGGCAGCAGUAGGGAAUCUUCCGCAAUGGACGAAAGUCUGACGGAGCAACGCCGCGUGAGUGAUGAAGGUUUUCGGAUCGUAAAACUCUGUUGUUAGGGAAGAACAAGUGCCGUUCGAAAGGGCGGCACCUUGACGGUACCUAACGAGAAAGCCACGGCUAACUACGUGCCAGCAGCCGCGGUAAAGUA
RNAcentral lists this ribosomal RNA (515 nucleotides) under uncultured bacterium. RNAcentral's name for it is "bacterial SSU rRNA". It matches the Rfam family "Bacterial small subunit ribosomal RNA", at positions 28 to 527 of the family's 1533-position model. The record is from RNAcentral.